This 72-nucleotide transfer RNA is filed under the name Candidatus Colwelliibacteriota bacterium. Its description in RNAcentral is "tRNA-Arg". It matches the Rfam family "tRNA". Rfam says of the family: Transfer RNA (tRNA) molecules are approximately 80 nucleotides in length. Their secondary structure includes four short double-helical elements and three loops (D, anti-codon, and T loops). The record is from RNAcentral. Lineage: Bacteria; Candidatus Colwelliibacteriota.
CUCCCCGUAGUUCAACGGACAGAACAAGAGGUUUCUAACCUCUAAAUGCGGGUUCGAUUCCUGCCGGGGAGA